CCUACGGGAGGCAGCAGUGGGGGAUAUUGCACAAUGGGGGGAACCCUGAUGCAGCGACGCCGCGUGGGUGAAGAAGCGCCUCGGCGCGUAAAGCCCUGUCAGCAGGGAAGAAAAUGACGGUACCCUAAGUAGAAGCCCCGGGUAACUACGUUCCAGCAGCCGCCGGAAUACGUAGGGGGCAAGCUUUAACCGGGUUUACUGGGUGUAAAGGGGGCGCAGACGGCGAUGCAAGCCAGGAGUGAAAGCCCGGGGCCCAACCCCGGGACUGCGCUUGGAACUGCGUGGCUGGAGUGCAGGAGGGGCAGGCGGAAUUCCUGGUGUAGCGGUGAAAUGCGUAGAUAUCAGGAGGAACACCGGUGGCGAAGGCGGCCUGCUGGACUGCAACUGACGUUGAGGCCCGAAAGCGUGGGGAGCAAACAGGAUUAGAUACCCGUGUAGUC
Molecule: ribosomal RNA, 440 nt
Filed under: uncultured bacterium
Lineage: Bacteria
Description: partial 16S ribosomal RNA
Rfam family: Bacterial small subunit ribosomal RNA
Source: RNAcentral